UGCGAGUCAUUGUAGCAAUACAAGGCAGACGGCUCAGUAACGCGUAGUCAACCUAACCUAUGGACGGGAAUAACCUCGGGAAACUGAGAAUAAUACCCGAUAGAACAUUAUGCCUGGAAUGGUUUAUGUUUCAAAUGAUUUAUCGCCGUAGGAUGGGACUGCGGCCUAUCAGCUUGUUGGUGAGGUAAUGGCCCACCAAGACUAUUACAGGUACGGGCUCUGAGAGGAGUAGCCCGGAGAUGGGUACUGAGACACGGACCCAGGCCCUAUGGGGCGCAGCAGGCGAGAAAACUUUGCAAUGUGUGAAAGCACGACAAGGUUAAUCCGAGUGAUUUGUGCUAAACGAAUCUUUUGUUAGUCCUAGAAACACUAACGAAUAAGGGGUGGGCAAGUUCUGGUGUCAGCCGCCGCGGUAAAACCAGCACCUCAAGUGGUCAGGAUGAUUAUUGGGCCUAAAGCAUCCGUAGCCGGCUCUGUAAGUUUUCGGUUAAAUCUGUACGCUUAACGUACAGGCUGCCGGGAAUACUGCAUAGCUAGGAAGUGGGAGAGGUAGACGGUACUCGGUAGGAAGGGGUAAAAUCCUUUGAUCUAUUGAUGACCACCUGUGGCGAAGGCGGUCUACCAGAACACGUUCGACGGUGAGGGAUGAAAGCUGGGGGAGCAAACCGGAUUAGAUACCCGGGUAGUCCCAGCUGUAAACUAUGCAAACUCAGUGAUGCAUUGGCUUGUGGCCAAUGCAGUGCUGCAGGGAAAGCCGUUAAGUUUGCCGCCUGGGAAGUACGUACGCAAGUAUGAAACUUAA
Molecule: ribosomal RNA, 802 nt
Filed under: uncultured crenarchaeote
Lineage: Archaea; Thermoproteati; Thermoproteota
Description: bacterial SSU rRNA
Rfam family: Archaeal small subunit ribosomal RNA
Source: RNAcentral